UACCGGAUACUAGAUCCGCCNGGGCUUCCAUGGCGGUUCGAAAGCUCCGGCGGUGCAGGAUGAGCCCGCGGCCUAUCAGCUUGUUGGUGAGGUAGUGGCUCACCAAGGCGACGACGGGUAGCCGGCCUGAGAGGGCGACCGGCCACACUGGGACUGAGACACGGCCCAGACUCCUACGGGAGGCAGCAGUGGGGAAUAUUGCACAAUGGGCGAAAGCCUGAUGCAGCGACGCCGCGUGAGGGAUGACGGCCUUCGGGUUGUAAACCUCUUUCAGCAGGGAAGAAGCGAAAGUGACGGUACCUGCAGAAGAAGCGCCGGCUAACUACGUGCCAGCAGCCGCGGUAAUACGUAGGGCGCAAGCGUUGUCCGGAAUUAUUGGGCGUAAAGAGCUCGUAGGCGGCUUGUCACGUCGGUUGUGAAAGCCCGGGGCUUAACCCCGGGUCUGCAGUCGAUACGGGCAGGCUAGAGUUCGGUAGGGGAGAUCGGAAUUCCUGGUGUAGCGGUGAAAUGCGCAGAUAUCAGAGGAACACCGGUGGCGAAUGCGGAUCUCUGGGCCGAUACUGACGCUGAGGAGCGAAAGCGUGGGGAGCAAACAGA
RNAcentral lists this ribosomal RNA (597 nucleotides) under Streptomyces sp. BSA27. Its description in RNAcentral is "bacterial SSU rRNA". It matches the Rfam family "Bacterial small subunit ribosomal RNA", at positions 167 to 776 of the family's 1533-position model. Lineage: Bacteria; Bacillati; Actinomycetota; Actinomycetes; Kitasatosporales; Streptomycetaceae. The record is from RNAcentral.